UUGAGCUUUUCAGGCCUCAUUUUCACUAUAGGACCAGUGAAUAACUCUGGAUGGCAGAUAAAUCAUAGGGUGGAGAGAAAGGAGUAGAAGGCUUCAAUGAUGAUACCCUGUUUCCGUCAAUGACAGAUAAGGCCCGAAGAUCCAGACUGAUGAUAAGCCUAAAGCUGGUGGAGGACAAUCACUACUGGAUUCUACCACAGAAGGCUGCAAACACGGCUGAGGAUUUUUACUAAAGUUACAAAAAUCAUUAUCGUUCUGGGGAAUCCACCUGCCAUGGUGAGUAGCACUACAAGAGAGGCCCAUGCAGCAAAGAAUUGAAACCUCUAAACAAUAGCCAUGUAAGUAAGUUUGGAAAUGGAUUCUUAGCCUAACCUUAGGAUAACUGUGGCCCCAGGCAAUAGCUGGACUGGAAUCUUAUAGAGAUUUUGCACCAAAACCGCUUAGCUCAUCUGCUACCAGAUUCCAGGCCCACAGAAGCCCUGAGAUUAAAAAAAUGUUUGAAGAUUUAGGCUACGAAGUUUUGGAUAAUU
RNAcentral lists this long non-coding RNA (530 nucleotides) under Homo sapiens (human). Its description in RNAcentral is "HSALNT0315466". Lineage: Eukaryota; Metazoa; Chordata; Mammalia; Primates; Hominidae. The record is from RNAcentral.